This 599-nucleotide long non-coding RNA is filed under the name Mytilus galloprovincialis (Mediterranean mussel). The record is from RNAcentral. Lineage: Eukaryota; Metazoa; Mollusca; Bivalvia; Mytilida; Mytilidae.
UCAGAUCUGACAAACACACAAAAUGUACCCUCUUUUUUAAAAUUUGGUGCAGGUUUUUUAAUAUUCAAAAUUAUAAGUCCAAAAGUGUUCUACAAUGAUCACCAGUCCUUCAGCUUUCAUUUGAUGCCGAAAAUACCUAAAUAUUUUACAUCUUUUGAAAGUUAUACUCAUGUGUAGGAACUAUUUUGUGCUGAAUAUGUACUACUUUCUGGCCGGGUCCGAAUUAGUGGUGUUACACCUUUGUACGCCCAUUUACUGUAAAGUUUGGUCACAUAAUGUACAUUUCACAUGGUAACACUCCAUGUGUUCAUUUCGCUGCAUGUGUUUUUAUGCUGUUCCAAGAAGUAAUUACAAUUCAGAAUAAAAUAUAAAACUGGAAAUUUGUGUGAGUAAUUUGAGUUAUCUCCCUUGUCAUGAAAAUAUUAUUUUGUGCAUUUUUAAUUUUUCAAGUAGAAAUGAAAAAUCGCUUUAUCUUAUUGAAAGUAAUCCAAUAUAAAAACCCUACUAAAGGACACAGGUGGCUCAGACAAAAUAUGUUGACCUAUUUUUUUUUUUUCUGUGAAACAACUAUUUUGUAAAUAUCAACAAAUAUCUUAAAG